GGGGUCGUUCCGGUUUUGACGGGGGAUUGAUCUGGCCUGGAUUGCAGUGGUCUGAUAAACCUUAAGAUCAAAAACCAAUAACUGACAAUAGUUAUAUCCAUGCGAACCGCGCUAUGCGCGCUUCGUACGCUUGCGCUUAAUCAGUAACCUGAGGGUUUCCUGGCAUAGAUCCAGGAGCAGCGUGUCCUUCGCUUGAUUCGUGCCUCUCAAGCGUUUCGGGCAUCAUACAAAGGCAAUAGCCACGUACCUUUGACUAGAGGGAAAUGGUGAAAUUCAAUUGGUCUAGCUUUCCGCUCUUUGACUUCGUCAUAGCGGUGAGUUAAAUUCCGACGAAGCCUAAACUGUAGGCGUCCUCGUUGGAGGUCCUUCGGACGCGAGUUCGACUCUCGCCGGCUCCACCA
RNAcentral lists this transfer-messenger RNA (401 nucleotides) under Bacilli bacterium. It matches the Rfam family "transfer-messenger RNA". Rfam says of the family: Bacterial tmRNA, also known as 10Sa RNA or SsrA, is named for its dual tRNA and mRNA-like properties. Its role is to liberate the mRNA from a stalled ribosome. Lineage: Bacteria; Bacillati; Bacillota; Bacilli. The record is from RNAcentral.